GCAAGCUCCUAACCCUCUCCUCCUGUUCUUUAAUUCCCAUGAGAGACUCCGUAGUUUCUCGUAUUUUAUCCCAUCCCUUACUUUAAUUCGGCGCUUAACAUUAUUUAUUGAAUUAUUAUUCAUUUCUUUUAAUUUAAAUUAAAUCCGAAACUUCUUAAACUUUAUUUGUCGUGAGCCUACAGGGGUUUGUACUGCCCCCACUCCUCUUGGGAAUGAUGUUGAACCUUACUUGUGGACUAGUUUCCUAGACGUGCGGGUUUGUUUACGAUUUUCUCGGGUUUGUUUAUGGUUCGGUUAGAGCUAUCGAGCAGUGGGGCAGGGGUCGGCUGUUUGGUGAUGUUGGAGUAGACUAUUGUACGGCCUUGAAGUGGACCGUUAGGUGGACACUCCUAGUCACUGGCCGUUGACCAGUGCCGGGCACUGCUGACUAGCUCUACCAGUAUGUGAUUUACUGCACGUUUAGAUUCAUUAUAUUACUGUUCAUGAUUUGAUAUGCACAUGGGUACGGGUUGCAUGUUGGGAUAUUCAUUUGUUAAGUAUGCUGGGACACGGACAUUCUAGCUUGGUUAGAUUGCAUCCAGCACGGGCAUAUGCAUUGGGUGUGGUUUACUAUGUGGGCGAAGCAUGGCCUGAUGCCUGGAUGUAUGAGUGCCAAUGUAUCAUGUUGAUGCUCACUAUACCAUUGCAUUUUUAUGUGCAUUGCAUGAUUACUGACAGUUAUCAGUUCUCAGACGGGAGGACCGUUCUGAGGGAGCCUAUAGCUUGGGUGUCGGGAGUAUCGACAGAGAUAUACGGGUGACAGGAGCACCGACCCAGGACAAUGCGUACAAGUUUGUUGAAGAUAUAUGUUGCCUAUCAGGGCAACGGUAGGUUGGUAUGGGACUUGGGUGCCGUGUGUCUUGUGUGGACCCCAAGGACUGGUAGUGGCAGCGUGGGCCAUGGCAAAGGAAUCAACAUCUAGCGGCAGAGUCGAUAUGGUGUACAGGCAAUCCCGUCAGUCUCAGUCAACUCUGAUGGUUGUGUAGGGUUUAUUCUUUUAUUCUUACCGUGCCAAGUUAUUUCUCGAGUCUCGUGUAUGUCGGCACAGGAGUCUGUAUCCAUUUAUUUAUCUUGUGACCGUUGUGCUAGUGGGGUACCCGUAGUGCAUGCAUGUAUAUAUGGUUUCGCUUCCGUUGUUUUAAUUCUUGUUUAUGCAUGUCAGGGUAGUUUCUGUCUUGUGUUCAUUCUUUUUCUCAUCCCGUAGGCGCUCCUGUUCGGGUAGUACAGAUGGGUGGGGAUAUCCCAGCGAUGGUGCUUACAAGAGUUUUGUAAGGAACAAUCCAAUAAAUUUUAAAUAAAUUUGGGUGCCUAAGGAUGUGCUUUAUGUUAACAUGAAUGGACCCAAAAAGGUUUGGGUACCAAAGGGUGCAAAUUGAUUCCUUUUUUGGUAGGUUGCUCUGAUUUCAAGCCAAAUGAAGAGCAAGUGGUUCCGCGAUAGUCGAUGCUCCAAACACAUGACUAGGGAUGAACAGCUCUUCAACAACAUCACCUACAAGUAUGGAGAGAACUGGGGAGGCUGGCGCACAGAAGCGGCGGCCAUUUUUAAAAUGAAUUGAUUUGGCAGGAUUGGGCAGAGACUUCUGAGAGGAGGCGCAAGGAAUUUAAAGAAGGUAGCGGCAGAGCAUGAAAGACGCAAUAGAGAGAUUGAAGCAGAGCAGGCGCACGCAACGGCAAGUGCAUGCGGAGGCGGACACGAUUUGUUUAACCCAGAUCUGAACAGAUCUGGGCUAAGGAAUUUCUGUCUUCUUCUUCAUUCUUCGAUUAAUUUUCUAAUGCUUUUUCUGUUACUUUGGGUUUUAAUUAAUUUUGCCAUGAACUAAUUUAUUGAACUAAGA
Molecule: long non-coding RNA, 1874 nt
Organism: Diospyros lotus (date-plum)
Lineage: Eukaryota; Viridiplantae; Streptophyta; Magnoliopsida; Ericales; Ebenaceae
Exons: 3
Source: RefSeq, a predicted model, not a curated record